RNAcentral lists this ribosomal RNA (755 nucleotides) under Bacteroidota bacterium. RNAcentral describes it as "bacterial SSU rRNA". It matches the Rfam family "Bacterial small subunit ribosomal RNA", at positions 1 to 734 of the family's 1533-position model. The record is from RNAcentral. Lineage: Bacteria; Pseudomonadati; Bacteroidota.
ACAAUGGAGAGUUUGAUCCUGGCUCAGGAUGAACGCUAGCGGCAGGCUUAAUACAUGCAAGUCGAGGGGGGCACGGUUAAAGCAAUAACUGGUGAAGACCGGCGCACGGGUGCGUAACACGUAUACAAUCUACCUUAAACAGGGGAUAGCCUUUCGAAAGAGAGAUUAACAAUUCCUGCACCAAAUUGAACGGCAUCGUUUGAUUUUAAAAGCUCCGGCGGUUUGAGAUGAGUAUAAGUCUGAUUAGUUGAAGUUGGUGAGGUAACGGCUCACCAAGGCACGAUCAGUAGUGGAUCUUGAGAGGACUCAACCCUUAACACUGGUACUGAGACACGGGGCAGACGUAUUCUCACGGGAGGCAGCAGUAAGGAACAUUGGUCAAUGGAGGCAACUUUGAACCAGCCAUGCUGCGUGCAGGGAUGACGGCCCUAUGGGUUGUAAACUGCUUUUAUACUCAGAGAAAACCCGAGUACGUGUACUGGUUGAUAGUAUGGUAAAGAAUAAGCAUCGGGCUAACUUCUGUGCCAGCAGCCGCGUGGUGUUAUCGAAGGAUGCAGCGUUAUCUUCGGAUUCAUUGGGUCUAGUGGUGCGAGGCGGACCUGUAAGUCAGUGGUGAAAUCUCCUUGCUUUAAUUGCAAAGAAACUGCCAUUGAUACUGCAAGUCUAGAGUAUAGAUGACGUUAACGGAAUAUGACAUGCAGCGGUGAAAUAAUAGAUAUGUCAUAGAACACCAUUGCGAAGGCAGCUAACGAAAC